RNAcentral lists this non-coding RNA (28 nucleotides) under Homo sapiens (human). Lineage: Eukaryota; Metazoa; Chordata; Mammalia; Primates; Hominidae. The record is from RNAcentral.
CUGGGUGACAUCUGCUGACUAAAUCUUC